AGUGAACGCUGGCGGUAGGCCUAACACAUGCAAGUCGAACGGCAGCACUGUUAGCGCUUGCUCUUCCGGGUUGCGAGUGGCGUGCGGGUGACGUAUACAUCGGACUCUAUUUUUUCGUGGGGGCUAACGUAGCUAAACUUACUCUAAUACCUCAUACUCCCUUCGGUUGAAAGCUGGGGAUCUUCUGCCCUUUCGCGUUUGCAUGCGCCGUUGUGGCAUUUGAUAGUUGGGGGGGUCAAGGCCCACCAAGGCGACGAUCCGUAGCUGGACUGAGAGGAUGAUAGGCCACACUGGAACGGAGACACGGUCCAGACUACUAAGGGAGGGAGCAGUGGGGAAUAUUGGACAAUGGGCGCAAGCAUGAUACAGCGAGAGCGCGUGGGUGAAGAAGACGUUGGGGUUGUAAAGACCGUUUGUUGGGUAAGAAAAGCAGCAGGUUAAGACGCAGCUGUUGUGACGGUACCCAAAGAAUAAGCACCGGCUAACUUCGUG
RNAcentral lists this ribosomal RNA (492 nucleotides) under uncultured bacterium. Its description in RNAcentral is "partial 16S ribosomal RNA". It matches the Rfam family "Bacterial small subunit ribosomal RNA", at positions 29 to 507 of the family's 1533-position model. The record is from RNAcentral.